This 253-nucleotide ribosomal RNA is filed under the name uncultured bacterium. Its description in RNAcentral is "partial 16S ribosomal RNA". It matches the Rfam family "Bacterial small subunit ribosomal RNA", at positions 524 to 776 of the family's 1533-position model. The record is from RNAcentral.
UACGAAGGGGGCUAGCGUUGCUCGGAAUCACUGGGCGUAAAGCGCACGUAGGCGGAUCUUUAAGUCAGGGGUGAAAUCCUGGAGCUCAACUCCAGAACUGCCUUUGAUACUGGGGAUCUCGAGUCCGGAAGAGGUGAGUGGAACUGCGAGUGUAGAGGUGAAAUUCGUAGAUAUUCGCAAGAACACCAGUGGCGAAGGCGGCUCACUGGCCCGGUACUGACGCUGAGGUGCGAAAGCGUGGGGAGCAAACAGG